GACGAACGCUGGCGGCGUGCCUAAUACAUGCAAGUCGAACGCUUCUUUCCUCCCGAGUGCUUGCACUCAAUUGGAAAGAGGAGUGGCGGACGGGUGAGUAACACGUGGGUAACCUACCCAUCAGAGGGGGAUAACACUUGGAAACAGGUGCUAAUACCGCAUAACAGUUUAUGCCGCAUGGCAUAAGAGUGAAAGGCGCUUUCGGGUGUCGCUGAUGGAUGGACCCGCGGUGCAUUAGCUAGUUGGUGAGGUAACGGCUCACCAAGGCCACGAUGCAUAGCCGACCUGAGAGGGUGAUCGGCCACACUGGGACUGAGACACGGCCCAGACUCCUACGGGAGGCAGCAGUAGGGAAUCUUCGGCAAUGGACGAAAGUCUGACCGAGUAACGCCGCGUGAGUGAAGAAGGUUUUCGGAUCGUAAAACUCUGUUGUUAGAGAAGAACAAGGACGUUAGUAACUGAACGUCCCCUGACGGUAUCUAACCAGAAAGCCACGGCUAACUACGUG
This 508-nucleotide ribosomal RNA is filed under the name uncultured bacterium. RNAcentral describes it as "partial 16S ribosomal RNA". It matches the Rfam family "Bacterial small subunit ribosomal RNA", at positions 28 to 507 of the family's 1533-position model. The record is from RNAcentral.